This is a long non-coding RNA of Zingiber officinale, 336 nucleotides long. RefSeq lists it as uncharacterized. Lineage: Eukaryota; Viridiplantae; Streptophyta; Magnoliopsida; Zingiberales; Zingiberaceae. The transcript is spliced from 2 exons. The record is from RefSeq and is a predicted model, not a curated record.
GAUUCGCAAGGGAAGGAGUUAGCGAACAGUAGUGAAUCGUUGCUAUUGGUUGUGAGCCACUUUCAGUGACAUCUUGUUGCCAAAUUUAGAGUAAGGUAGCAGGUAAAGGAUUUAUGGAGUCGCCUGGAGAUCCUGUCCGCCAGUUCCACGUCACAUUCGAGGAUGACCUUACGAUUUUGGUAUUUCUUACGCUAUUUGUAUUUUAGGUUUUGUACUUAUUUAUGUAUUUGAGUUCUCUUGUAUUUGGUUUGAUAUUAUUGUGUCAAGCCGAGCCGGCUCGCAGUUAGUUACUUUAUGUUUUGUUAUCGUUGUUUGUGAUUUCCGCUGUGUUGAUUU